RNAcentral lists this ribosomal RNA (772 nucleotides) under Lactobacillus sp. ab3-w1. RNAcentral's name for it is "bacterial SSU rRNA". It matches the Rfam family "Bacterial small subunit ribosomal RNA", at positions 38 to 798 of the family's 1533-position model. The record is from RNAcentral. Lineage: Bacteria; Bacillati; Bacillota; Bacilli; Lactobacillales; Lactobacillaceae.
GUCGACGAGUUCUGAUUAUUGAAAGGUGCUUGCAUCUUGAUUUAAUUUUGAACGAGUGGCGGACGGGUGAGUAACACGUGGGUAACCUGCCCUUAAGUGGGGGAUAACAUUUGGAAACAGAUGCUAAUACCGCAUAAAUCCAAGAACCGCAUGGUUCUUGGCUGAAAGAUGGCGUAAGCUAUCGCUUUUGGAUGGACCCGCGGCGUAUUAGCUAGUUGGUGAGGUAACGGCUCACCAAGGCAAUGAUACGUAGCCGAACUGAGAGGUUGAUCGGCCACAUUGGGACUGAGACACGGCCCAAACUCCUACGGGAGGCAGCAGUAGGGAAUCUUCCACAAUGGACGCAAGUCUGAUGGAGCAACGCCGCGUGAGUGAAGAAGGCUUUCGGGUCGUAAAACUCUGUUGUUGGAGAAGAAUGGUCGGCAGAGUAACUGUUGUCGGCGUGACGGUAUCCAACCAGAAAGCCACGGCUAACUACGUGCCAGCAGCCGCGGUAAUACGUAGGUGGCAAGCGUUAUCCGGAUUUAUUGGGCGUAAAGCGAGCGCAGGCGGUUUUUUAAGUCUGAUGUGAAAGCCCUCGGCUUAACCGAGGAAGUGCAUCGGAAACUGGGAAACUUGAGUGCAGAAGAGGACAGUGGAACUCCAUGUGUAGCGGUGAAAUGCGUAGAUAUAUGGAAGAACACCAGUGGCGAAGGCGGCUGUCUGGUCUGUAACUGACGCUGAGGCUCGAAAGCAUGGGUAGCGAACAGGAUUAGAUACCCUGGUAGUCCAU